Long non-coding RNA from Bradysia coprophila, 158 nucleotides. The record is from RefSeq and is a predicted model, not a curated record. Lineage: Eukaryota; Metazoa; Arthropoda; Insecta; Diptera; Sciaridae.
GUCUAAUCGAUUCAAUCGACGUAAGCUCCAAUGAAAAUAGUCUCUAUUUCAAUAUUUGGACUACACCUACACUAUAAUAAGGAGACCAUUCGCACUGAAAGACAAUAGUCAUUGGCUAAAGUGCAAUAAAAAAUCUGUUGGUUUUCUAUCAUGUUUUA